GAUAUAAUGGUUCAAUGGUAGAAUAACCGCCUUCCAUGUUUAACCUUGGUCAGCGGUUGACCGGUGUUCGAUUCACCGUUAUGUCA
Non-coding RNA from Filobasidium floriforme, 86 nucleotides. The record is from the annotation of a RefSeq genome assembly. NCBI's taxonomy places the organism in Eukaryota, Fungi, Basidiomycota, Tremellomycetes, Filobasidiales, Filobasidiaceae.